Molecule: non-coding RNA, 83 nt
Filed under: Thalassionema frauenfeldii
Lineage: Eukaryota; Bacillariophyta; Fragilariophyceae; Thalassionematales; Thalassionemataceae
Source: RNAcentral
GGAUCAUUUUAAAAGAAAGAAAUGUAGUUUUAUUCCCGUGGCGUGCUUAACACAUGUAGUAAUAACGUUUUAAAAAGAGUGCC